GACGAACGCUGGCGGCGUGCUUAACACAUGCAAGUCGAGCGGUAAGGCCCUUCGGGUACGACGAGCGGCGAACGGGUGAGUAACACGUGGGUGACCUGCCUCUAGCUCUCGGGAUAAGCCUGGGAAACUGGGCCCGUAAUACCGGAUAUGACUCCACGGCGCAUGUUGUGGGGUGGAAAGCCUUGUGCGGCUAGAGAUGGGCCCGCGGCCUAUCAGCUUGUUGGUGGGGUGAUGGCCUACCAAGGCGACGACGGUAGCCGGCCUGAGAGGGCGACCGGCCACACUGGGACUGAGACACGGCCCACGACUCCUACGGGAGGCGAGCAGUGGGGAAUCUUGCGCAAUGGGGCGAAAGCCUGACGCAGCGACGCCGCGUGA
RNAcentral lists this ribosomal RNA (378 nucleotides) under uncultured bacterium. RNAcentral's name for it is "bacterial SSU rRNA". It matches the Rfam family "Bacterial small subunit ribosomal RNA", at positions 28 to 404 of the family's 1533-position model. The record is from RNAcentral.